CAUCAAGGGUUUUAAGUUUUAACUCAGCCCCCAAAACACCCACACCACUCCUUUCUUCUUUCCCCCAUUUCCUAAAACCCUAAUUUCCCCCAAUUUUUAGGGUUUUCUCCUCUCAAUCUCAUCCACAAAAAUGGCGACUGCUCUUCUACUCAGAAGACAAUUAUCACCUUCAUUAACACCAUCAUCAAGGCGCGCACUCGCCGCUUUCACUUCCUUCUUCCACUCCACCCAACCACUAUCAUCAUCUUCAACAACGGUCAUAAAUGGCGGAUUUCUGGGAAGUAACAAUGAAUCAGUCGUUAAAUCCAAAUCGUGCUUCGAAAGUGCGAAGAAUAUACAGUCGCGAUUAAGUUUCCGAGCUUCUUUUGCGUCGCAAGCUGCUGGUUUUGCUGUUGCUGAUUACUCGGAUGACGAUAAAACUAGAGGAGAUGAAGGUCUUGAUAUUUCGAAGCUUAAUAUUCAUGACGACAUUGUUUCUUGUUUGUCUAAGAAAGGAAUCACUAAGCUAUUCCCGAUUCAGAAAGCUGUUCUUGAACCUGCAUUUCAGGGUCGUGACAUGAUUGGUCGUGCCAGAACUGGGACAGGGAAGACACUUGCUUUUGGGAUACCAAUCAUGGAUAAGAUUACACGCCAGAAUGAGAAGAACGGGGUAGGGAGGGAUCCUUUGGCUUUGGUUUUGGCUCCGACAAGAGAACUUGCUCGACAGGUUGAGAAGGAAUUUUAUGAGUCUUCAAAGCUAGACACUUUGUGCGUAUAUGGGGGUACACCAAUUGCUCGUCAAAUGAGUGCGCUUAGCCGUGGUGUUGAUGUGGUUGCUGGGACACCUGGCCGGGUAAUUGAUCUGAUAAAGAGAGGAGCUUUGGAUCUGUCUCGUGUUCAGUUUGUUGUUCUGGAUGAAGCUGAUCAAAUGCUUAAUGUUGGAUUUGAGGAAGAUGUGGAGGUUAUAUUAGAGAAGCUGCCAAAAAAUCGCCAAACUAUGAUGUUCUCUGCCACCAUGCCGAAUUGGAUCAUGAAGCUUACUAAAAAAUACUUGAAGGAUCCUUUGAUGAUUGAUCUUGUUGGGGACUCAGAUCAGAAGCUGGCAGAAGGAAUCUCUUUAUGUUCAGUUGUAGUGGAUCGUCGUGCAAAAGCAGGUGUUAUUGGACCUCUUUUCACGGAAUAUGCACAUGGAGGGAAAUGCAUUGUUUUCACUCAGACAAAACGUGAUGCUGAUAACCUAUCUUCUGCAUUGGCAAGGAAAAACUACAAAUGUGAGCCCUUGCAUGGGGAUAUUGCUCAAGGUCAAAGGGAAAGAACACUUAAACGGUUUAGAGACGGGGAAAUCAACAUUUUGGUCGCUACUGAUGUGGCUGCUCGUGGUCUGGACGUACCAAAUGUUGAUCUGAUUUUACAUUAUGAACUCCCUUCAACUUCCGAGAGCUUUGUUCAUCGGUCCGGUCGAACUGGUCGUGCUGGAAAAAAAGGAACUGCAAUUGUUAUUUAUACAACGGAUGAAUCAAGGGCUGUUAAAGUUAUUGAGCGUGAUGUUGGAUGCAGAUUCAAAGAGCUUCCUCCAAUUGCUUCUGAUGGUGCCGAGAUGGAUAUGGGCAUGGGUGGUGGCGGUCGAUUUGGGAACUCUGGUUUCAGUCGUUCAGGAGGAUAUGGAAAUUCAAGUUCUGGGCGUUAUGGUGGGGAUUCCUAUUCUGGACGUUCUGGUGGUUAUGGGAACAUGAACUCUGGUCGUGGCGGAUCCAGGGAUUCUGGAUCUGGUGGUUUUGGCUCUUAUGGUGGCUCUUCUUCUAGAUCGGGUGGCGGUUAUGAGGGUUCCAGUGGCUCUGGUUUUGGUCGAUCCUCUGGUGGUGGAUUUGGUGACUCUGGGAGGAGUGACAGAUCUGGUGGUUUUGGCAACUUCGGUUCAGGCCGUCAGAGCGGGAAUCAGAAGAGUGGUAAUACUAAUUCAAAUCGGUUUGGCAGCUUUGGUGACAGUUUCUUUUAAGAAGUAAGCCUCUUUGGCUAGGGGAAGGAUUUAUAAGCAGGAAUCCCAAACCUAUUGGUUGCUGGAUUGGAUUUGGGUUUACCUGGAUUAGACUUGGGGGACUUUUUACGCGCGUGGAGGUGGGUUAGCAAGUCUGCUGGCUACCUGAAGCCAGUAGGGUGGCUCUCACCUCGCUUUCAAGUUCCUAUACGUGUGGUUCAACCGGGUCACAUUCCAUCCAAGUGCCCAGUUGUUCCCCAUGAUACUAGUUUGUUUCUAAAGGUCAAUCCGUUGUGAGUUCAUUCAGCUGCAGGCGAGGAUUUGAUAGGAGCUAUACUGGAACAAUUAGUUAUGCUGUGUGCAUAAAUUAAGCAAGACCGUUGUUUGUUUCUUCUGGAAUUGAAGUCAUGAUGGAAUAUCAUACAAGUGUUCUUGGUGGAAAAUAUAGUUUUAUGAACGUAACAACCUUGUUUGUAUUAUAUAACAUGUUAGAGUAGGGCGCGCAACCUAUUUUUCUUAAUGCUUUAGACAAACUACCCUUGGAACUUGAUUUUGUCCGUUGCAAUCAUAUAGUAAAUAAGAUAUAUCCAAGAGCUUUUAUUUUC
Molecule: RNA transcript, 2559 nt
Organism: Beta vulgaris subsp. vulgaris (sugar beet)
Lineage: Eukaryota; Viridiplantae; Streptophyta; Magnoliopsida; Caryophyllales; Amaranthaceae
Gene name: DEAD-box ATP-dependent RNA helicase 53, mitochondrial
Exons: 9
Source: RefSeq, a predicted model, not a curated record